AUUGAACGCUGGCGGCAGGCCUAACACAUGCCAGUCGAGCGGAUGAAGGGAGCUUGCUCCUGGAUUCAGCGGCGGACGGGUGAGUAAUGCCUAGGAAUCUGCCUGGUAGUGGGGGAUAACGUCCGGAAACGGGCGCUAAUACCGCAUACGUCCUGAGGGAGAAAGUGGGGGAUCUUCGGACCUCACGCUAUCAGAUGAGCCUAGGUCGGAUUAGCUAGUUGGUGGGGUAAAGGCCUACCAAGGCGACGAUCCGUAACUGGUCUGAGAGGAUGAUCAGUCACACUGGAACUGAGACACGGUCCAGACUCCUACGGGAGGCAGCAGUGGGGAAUAUUGGACAAUGGGCGAAAGCCUGAUCCAGCCAUACCGCGUGUGUGAAGAAGGUCUUCGGAUUGUAAAGCACUUUAAGUUGGGAGGAAGGGCAGUAAGUUAAUACCUUGCUGUUUUGACGUUACCAACAGAAUAAGCACCGGCUAACUUCGUG
Molecule: ribosomal RNA, 484 nt
Filed under: uncultured bacterium
Lineage: Bacteria
Description: partial 16S ribosomal RNA
Rfam family: Bacterial small subunit ribosomal RNA
Source: RNAcentral